This 932-nucleotide ribosomal RNA is filed under the name Leuconostoc sp. MX-MONARCH18. RNAcentral describes it as "bacterial SSU rRNA". It matches the Rfam family "Bacterial small subunit ribosomal RNA", at positions 53 to 967 of the family's 1533-position model. Lineage: Bacteria; Bacillati; Bacillota; Bacilli; Lactobacillales; Lactobacillaceae. The record is from RNAcentral.
ACAUGCGAGUCGAACGCACAGCGUAAAGUUGCUUGCACCUUUCAAGUGAGUGGCGAACGGGUGAGUAACACGUGGACAACCUGCCUCAAGGCUGGGGAUAACAUUUGGAAACAGAUGCUAAUACCGAAUAAAACUCAGUGUCGCAUGACACAAAGUUAAAAGGCGCUUUGGCGUCACCUAGAGAUGGAUCCGCGGUGCAUUAGUUAGUUGGUGGGGUAAAGGCCUACCAAGACAAUGAUGCAUAGCCGAGUUGAGAGACUGAUCGGCCACAUUGGGACUGAGACACGGCCCAAACUCCUACGGGAGGCUGCAGUAGGGAAUCUUCCACAAUGGGCGAAAGCCUGAUGGAGCAACGCCGCGUGUGUGAUGAAGGCUUUCGGGUCGUAAAGCACUGUUGUAUGGGAAGAACAGCUAGAAUAGGGAAUGAUUUUAGUUUGACGGUACCAUACCAGAAAGGGACGGCUAAAUACGUGCCAGCAGCCGCGGUAAUACGUAUGUCCCGAGCGUUAUCCGGAUUUAUUGGGCGUAAAGCGAGCGCAGACGGUUGAUUAAGUCUGAUGUGAAAGCCCGGAGCUCAACUCCGGAAUGGCAUUGGAAACUGGUUAACUUGAGUGCAGUAGAGGUAAGUGGAACUCCAUGUGUAGCGGUGGAAUGCGUAGAUAUAUGGAAGAACACCAGUGGCGAAGGCGGCUUACUGGACUGUAACUGACGUUGAGGCUCGAAAGUGUGGGUAGCAAACAGGAUUAGAUACCCUGGUAGUCCACACCGUAAACGAUGAACACUANGUGUUAGGAGGUUUCCGCCUCUUAGUGCCGAUGCUAACGCAUUAAGUGUUCCGCCUGGGGAGUACGACCGCAAGGUUGAAACUCAAGGAAUUGACGGGGACCCGCACAAGCGGUGGAGCAUGUGGUUUAAUUCGAAGCACGCGAGAA